This 258-nucleotide ribosomal RNA is filed under the name Staphylococcus aureus. RNAcentral's name for it is "partial 16S ribosomal RNA". It matches the Rfam family "Bacterial small subunit ribosomal RNA", at positions 988 to 1217 of the family's 1533-position model. Lineage: Bacteria; Bacillati; Bacillota; Bacilli; Caryophanales; Staphylococcaceae. The record is from RNAcentral.
CCUUUGACAACUCUAGAGAUAGAGCCUUCCCCUUCGGGGGACAAAGUGACAGGUGGUGCAUGGUUGUCGUCAGCUCGUGUCGUGAGAUGUUGGGUUAAGUCCCGCAACGAGCGCAACCCUUAAGCUUAGUUGCCAUCAUUAAGUUGGGCACUCUAAGUUGACUGCCGGUGACAAACCGUCGAAGGUGGGACAAAUGAUUGGGGUGAAGUCGUAACAAGGUAGCCGUAUCGGAAGGUGCGGCUGGAUCACCUCCUUUCU